RNAcentral lists this ribosomal RNA (299 nucleotides) under uncultured soil bacterium. RNAcentral describes it as "partial 16S ribosomal RNA". It matches the Rfam family "Bacterial small subunit ribosomal RNA", at positions 26 to 326 of the family's 1533-position model. The record is from RNAcentral.
AGAUUGAACGCUGGCGGCAUGCCUUACACAUGCAAGUCGAACGGCAGCACGGGAGCAAUCCUGGUGGCGAGUGGCGAACGGGUGAGUAAUAUAUCGGAACGUGCCCAGUCGUGGGGGAUAACGCAGCGAAAGCUGUGCUAAUACCGCAUACGAUCUAUGGAUGAAAGCGGGGGAUCGCAAGACCUCGCGCGAUUGGAGCGGCCGAUAUCAGAUUAGCUAGUUGGUAGGGGUAAAAGCCUACCAAGGCGACGAUCUGUAGCUGGUCUGAGAGGACGACCAGCCACACUGGAACUGAGACA